RNAcentral lists this ribosomal RNA (460 nucleotides) under uncultured bacterium. Its description in RNAcentral is "partial 16S ribosomal RNA". It matches the Rfam family "Bacterial small subunit ribosomal RNA", at positions 338 to 795 of the family's 1533-position model. The record is from RNAcentral.
CCUACGGGAGGCAGCAGUGAGGAAUAUUGGUCAAUGGGCGGAAGCCUGAACCAGCCAAGUAGCGUGCAGGAUGACGGCCCUACGGGUUGUAAACUGCUUUUAUACGGGAAUAACGUGCCUUACGUGUAGGGCUUUGCAUGUACCGUAUGAAUAAGGACCGGCUAAUUCCGUGCCAGCAGCCGCGGUAAUACGGAAGGUACGGGCGUUAUCCGGAUUUAUUGGGUUUAAAGGGAGCGUAGGCGGCAUGUAAAGAUUGCUGUGAAAGGCCAGGGCUCAACCCGGGACUUGCUGUGCAAACUGGGGGGCUUGAGUGCGGGGGAGGCAGGCGGAAUGCGUGGUGUAGCGGUGAAAUGCUUAGAUAUGACGAAGAACCCCGAUUGCGAAGGCAGCUUGCUGCAGCGGAACUGACGCUGAUGCACGAAAGCGCGGGGAUCGAACAGGAUUAGAUACCCCGGUAGUC